GGGUUCGCGCUUUGGUCCUGGAGGCCUUAUCCUAGCCUCCUCUGUAUCAGCGCCACCAGUCUGGGGCCCGAAAGGAGGGAGCUUUCCCUCUGUCCCCCAGCCUUUGGACUGUCACCAAACAAGCCAUUCGUUCACCAAAUACUUAUUAAGCGCCUACCAUGUGCCUGACAAGGGAGAUGUAACGAUAGAGUCUCUCUCUCUGCCACCCAGGCCAGAGUGCAGUUGACGCAGGGCAGGGGAGCCCCGAAGUGGAGCAUAGUGUGUCCGGAACUGGUGGGUUCUUGGUCUCCCUGACUUCAAGAAUGAAGCCACGGACCCUCGGGAAACUCCUGGAGGGCAGAGGCAUGCCUGCCAUCUUCAUCAUUGCAUUACCACCACCCAACACUAUCGGGGGACCUGCCCUGAUAAUCAGUCUACAGGUGUAUCCAGCAGCUCCAGAGAGACAGCGACCAGCGAGAAGGGGCCAUGAUGAUGGUGGUGGUUUUGUCAAAACGAAAAGGGGGAUAUGUAGGGAAAAGAAAGAGAGAUCAGACUGUUACUGUGUCUACAUAGAAAGGGAAGCCAUAAGAGACUCCAUUUUGAAAAAGACCUGUACUUUAAACAAUUGCUUGCUGAGAUGUUGUUUAUCUGUAGCUUUGCCCCAGCCACUUUGCCCCAACCACUUUGACCCAAUCUGGAGCUCACAAAAACAUGUUUGUAUGAAAUCAAGGUUUAAGGCAUGUAGGGCUGUGCAGGACGUGCCUUGUUAACCAAAUAUUUGGAAGCAGUAUACUUGGUAAAAGUCAUCACCAUUCUCUCGUCUCAAUAAACCAGGGGCACAAUGCACUGUGGAAAGCCGCAGGGACCUCUGCCCUUGAAAGCUGGGUAUU
Molecule: long non-coding RNA, 869 nt
Filed under: Homo sapiens (human)
Lineage: Eukaryota; Metazoa; Chordata; Mammalia; Primates; Hominidae
Description: family with sequence similarity 85 member B (FAM85B)
Source: RNAcentral